RNAcentral lists this ribosomal RNA (785 nucleotides) under uncultured bacterium. RNAcentral describes it as "bacterial SSU rRNA". It matches the Rfam family "Bacterial small subunit ribosomal RNA", at positions 8 to 798 of the family's 1533-position model. The record is from RNAcentral.
AGAGUUUGAUCAUGGCUCAGGACGAACGCUGGCGGCGUGCUUAACACAUGCAAGUCGAACGGUAAGGCCCUUCGGGGUACACGAGUGGCGAACGGGUGAGUAACACGUGGGUAAUCUGCCCUGCACAUCGGGAUAAGCCUGGGAAACUGGGUCUAAUACCGAAUAGGACCACAGGACACAUGUCCUGUGGUGGAAAGCUUUUGCGGUGUGGGAUGGGCCCGCGGCCUAUCAGCUUGUUGGUGGGGUGAUGGCCUACCAAGGCGACGACGGGUAGCCGGCCUGAGAGGGUGUCCGGCCACACUGGGACUGAGAUACGGCCCAGACUCCUACGGGAGGCAGCAGUGGGGAAUAUUGCACAAUGGGCGAAGGCCUGAUGCAGCGACGCCGCGUGGGGGAUGACGGCCUUCGGGUUGUAAACCUCUUUCACCAUCGACGAAGGUCCGGGUUUUCUCGGGCUGACGGUAGGUGGAGAAGAAGCACCGGCCAACUACGUGCCAGCAGCCGCGGUAAUACGUAGGGUGCGAGCGUUGUCCGGAAUUACUGGGCGUAAAGAGCUCGUAGGUGGUUUGUCGCGUUGUUCGUGAAAUCUCACGGCUUAACUGUGAGCGUGCGGGCGAUACGGGCAGACUUGAGUACUGCAGGGGAGACUGGAAUUCCUGGUGUAGCGGUGGAAUGCGCAGAUAUCAGGAGGAACGCCGGUGGCGAAGGCGGGUCUCUGGGCAGUAACUGACGCUGAGGAGCGAAAGCGUGGGGAGCGAACAGGAUUAGAUACCCUGGUAGUCCAA